GCCACUCGAAACUUUGCAUACCUCUACGUGGUGAGCGGCAAGCAACACGGCAUGUGUGCUGUGGCUGAUGCAGCU
RNAcentral lists this ribozyme (75 nucleotides) under unclassified sequences. RNAcentral's name for it is "HDV ribozyme from F. prausnitzii". It matches the Rfam family "HDV ribozyme from F. prausnitzii". The record is from RNAcentral.